Molecule: ribosomal RNA, 497 nt
Filed under: uncultured bacterium
Lineage: Bacteria
Description: partial 16S ribosomal RNA
Rfam family: Bacterial small subunit ribosomal RNA
Source: RNAcentral
UAUGCACGCUGGCGGCGUGCCUAAUACAUGCAAGUCGAGCGAACAGACGAGGAGCUUGCUCCUCUGACGUUAGCGGCGGACGGGUGAGUAACACGUGGAUAACCUACCUAUAAGACUGGGAUAACUUCGGGAAACCGGAGCUAAUACCGGAUAAUAUAUUGAACCGCAUGGUUCAAUAGUGAAAGACGGUUUUGCUGUCACUUAUAGAUGGAUCCGCGCCGCAUUAGCUAGUUGGUAAGGUAACGGCUUACCAAGGCAACGAUGCGUAGCCGACCUGAGAGGGUGAUCGGCCACACUGGAACUGAGACACGGUCCAGACUCCUACGGGAGGCAGCAGUAGGGAAUCUUCCGCAAUGGGCGAAAGCUUGACGGAGCAACGCCGCGUGAGUGAUGAAGGUCUUCGGAUCGUAAAACUCUGUUAUUAGGGAAGAACAAAUGUGUAAGUAACUAUGCACGUCUUGACGGUACCUAAUCAGAAAGCCACGGCUAACUACGUG